RNAcentral lists this ribosomal RNA (253 nucleotides) under uncultured bacterium. RNAcentral's name for it is "partial 16S ribosomal RNA". It matches the Rfam family "Bacterial small subunit ribosomal RNA", at positions 524 to 776 of the family's 1533-position model. The record is from RNAcentral.
UACGGAGGAUCCAAGCGUUAUCCGGAUUUAUUGGGUUUAAAGGGUGCGUAGGCGGCUUUUUAAGUCAGGGGUGAAAGACGGUGGCUCAACCAUCGCAGUGCCCUUGAUACUGAUGAGCUUGAAUACACUUGAGGUAGGCGGAAUGUGACAAGUAGCGGUGAAAUGCAUAGGUAUGUCACAGAACACCAAUUGCGAAGGCAGCUUACUAAGGUGCAAUUGACGCUGAGGCACGAAAGCGUGGGGAUCAAACAGG